AUCAGACCGAGUCUGAAGCUGACUGGGACCUUGUCCCCUACAUCGAACCUGAGUCCGAAGCUGACAUCGAACCGGAGUCCGAAGCUGACCGGGACCUUGUCCCCUACAUCGAACCUGAGUCCGAAGCUGACAUCGAACCGGAGUCCGAAGCUGACCGGGACCUUGUCCCCUACAUCGAACCUGAGUCCGAAGCUGACAUCGGACCGAAGUCCGAAGCUAACUGAUCAUAACAUAACGUAUCACUUAGCAUGAACACACAUAAUCCUGUCUGAGCCACGAAGGCUUCAAACAUGCUAACUACUGCGUCGGAUAAAGAUCUGGAUACUACUGCUAGCUAAACGGGCCGGCAUUGUGGCCUUAGACCCGCUCCUACUGAAAAGGAACUCACCUCGUGAAUUGGCUGCUGAGUGAAUAGCUCUGAGGGCUAACUGCUGCUGCUCCGGUAUCUCCCCGGCUACAAGUCCAUAAACAUACUCAAUCAAAUACUAAACACUGCACUGGGUAAAAUGACUCUUUUACCCCAGGUCAAAGUCAACUCUCAGACAAAGUCAACUCUCGGUCAAAGUCAACCCAUAGUUGACCUGACUCGCCGAGUUGGGCCGCCAACUCGCCGAGUCCCUAUCCUCACUCCUCGACUCAACUCGCUGCUACUCGUCGAGUAUGGCAUCGACUCGACGAGUACUCUCCCGAUCCAAGAACUCAGACAAUCUUCAUCCGACUCGCCGAGUCCUAUGAACAACUCGACGAGUUGUUCUUGAGCUUAAGAAGAUUGCCUUGGACUCGCCGAGUUGUAUGAACAACUCGCCGAGUCCCUCC
RNAcentral lists this long non-coding RNA (816 nucleotides) under Lactuca sativa (garden lettuce). RNAcentral's name for it is "long non-coding RNA (LSAT_LNC000482)". Lineage: Eukaryota; Viridiplantae; Streptophyta; Magnoliopsida; Asterales; Asteraceae. The record is from RNAcentral.